UAUGUGAUCGUCUCUCGCAUAUCAAUAAGCGGAGGAAAAGAAACUAACAAGGAUUCCCUUAGUAACGGCGAGUGAAGCGGGAAGAGCUCAAAUUUGAAAUCUUCAAGGUUUUACCUUGACGAAUUGUAGUUUAAAGAAGUGUUUUCUGUUGAAGUUUUGGUAAAAGUUCUUUGGAAUAGGACAUCAUAGAGGGUGAGAAUCCCGUAUUUGACCAUUAUUUUCAGCUGUGUGAUACACUUUCAAAGAGUCGGAUUGUUUGGGAAUGCAGUCCAAAAUGGGUGGUAAAUUUCAUCUAAAACUAAAUAUUGGCGAGAGACCGAUAGCGAACAAGUACCGUGAGGGAAAGAUGAAAAGAACUUUGAAAAGAGAGUUAAACAGUACGUGAAAUUGUCAAAAGGGAAGCGUUUGACACCAGUGUUGUUUUCUCGAAAAUCAAUUAAAAAGAGUUAGAUUUUGUUGUGUAUUGACCUUAAUCAGCUUGACUUUCACUUUUUCUUGCUCUUUUUAAUGCACUUUUCGUUUAACAAGUCAACAUCAGUUUCUUUUGUUGUAAAAAGGUCAUUGGAAGGUGGCUUUCUUUUCGGAGAAAGUGUUUAUAGCCUUUGACUUCCUAGCAAUCGGAGAGACUUGAGGUCUGCAGCGUAGAUCCUUCGGGGUUAGAUACAUUAGAUGCUAAGUUAUAGUUUUUUAUAGACAACUUGUUGACUAUGAUUAGUCAUGUAGCUUACUCGUUUACUGCUAUUCUACCUACGCUUAGGAUGUUGAUCUCUCACAGUCGAGC
Molecule: ribosomal RNA, 781 nt
Filed under: uncultured Neocallimastigales
Lineage: Eukaryota; Fungi; Neocallimastigomycota; Neocallimastigomycetes; Neocallimastigales
Description: partial large subunit ribosomal RNA
Rfam family: Eukaryotic large subunit ribosomal RNA
Source: RNAcentral